Molecule: ribosomal RNA, 450 nt
Filed under: uncultured bacterium
Lineage: Bacteria
Description: partial 16S ribosomal RNA
Rfam family: Bacterial small subunit ribosomal RNA
Source: RNAcentral
GUGGGGAAUUUUGGACAAUGGGCGCAAGCCUGAUCCAGCAAUGCCGCGUGCAGGAAGAAGGCCUUCGGGUUGUAAACUGCUUUUGUACGGAACGAAACGGUCCUGGCUAAUACCCGGGGCUAAUGACGGUACCGUAAGAAUAAGCACCGGCGAACUACGUGCCAGCAGCCGCGGUAAUACGUAGGGUGCGAGCGUUAAUCGGAAUUACUGGGCGUAAAGCGUGCGCAGGCGGUUUUGUAAGACAGGCGUGAAAUCCCCGGGCUCAACCUGGGAAUUGCGCUUGUGACUGCAAGGAUGGAGUGCGGCAGAGGGGGAUGGAAUUCCGCGUGUAGCAGUGAAAUGCGUAGAUAUGCGGAGGAACACCGAUGGCGAAGGCAAUCCCCUGGGCCUGCACUGACGCUCAUGCACGAAAGCGUGGGGAGCAAACAGGAUUAGAUACCCCUGUAGUCC